Molecule: ribosomal RNA, 253 nt
Filed under: uncultured bacterium
Lineage: Bacteria
Description: partial 16S ribosomal RNA
Rfam family: Bacterial small subunit ribosomal RNA
Source: RNAcentral
UACGGAGGGUGCAAGCGUUGUUCGGAAUUACUGGGCGUAAAGCGCUUGUAGGCGGCCGAUUAAGUCUGGUGUGAAAGCCCGGGGCUCACCCCCGGAAGUGCGCUGGAAACUGGUCGGCUAGAGUAUGGGAGAGGAAAGUGGAAUUCCCGGUGUAGCGGUGAAAUGCGCAGAUAUCGGGAGGAACACCUAUGGCGAAGGCAGCUCGCUGGGACGGUACUGACGCUGAGACGCGAAAGCGUGGGGAGCGAACAGG